CUCCCAUCCUCUCCUUGCGGCCCUGCAGUUUGCGUACCCGUUUUGGUGAAGGGGAUUACCACACACCGGAUCCCUCCACCCCACUCUCAUGCUACUGCUCUGCUCUGCCCGCGCGCCCUCGUCUCUCGGUGUCCGAGCUUCACCCCUACUCCUCGAUCGCCGGCAUGGUGCCCGGGUUACGACGCGGCUAGCCGUCUACUGCUGCAGAUAGAAUCCCGCCAGAAUUAUCGACAGAUCAAGCAGGGAGGCCGCGGGUCCGGUGAGAGUGGCGACGGAUCCAGCUGCAACCGCACUGCUCCGAGUUGCAACUGGUGAAGAAAUUCCAGAGCCCGCUAGGCUAGGGUCUAGACUUGGCGCAAACUUUCCUGUUCGAUCACUGGCCGUGCAUUCGAGCUUUUAGGCCAUGGAGGCGGCUCUGGUGACUGUGGCCACGGGGGUCCUCAAACCUGUCCUGGGGAAGCUGGCCACCCUGCUCGGCGACGAGUACAAGCGUUUUAAGGGUGUGCGCAAGGAGAUCAGGUCUCUCACUCAUGAACUCGCCGCCAUGGAGGCUUUUCUCCUCAAGAUGUCGGAGGAGGAGGAGGAUCUCAAUGUGCAGGAUAAAGUUUGGAUGAAUGAGGUGCGGGAAUUGUCCUAUGACAUGGAGGAUGCCAUCGAUGACUUUAUGCAAAGCGUUGGUGACAAAGAAGAAAAGCCGGAUGGCUUCAUUGACAAGAUCAAGAGCUCGCUAGGAAAGUUGGGAAAUAUGAAGGCUCGUCAUCGAAUUGGCAAGGAGAUACAGGAUCUGAAGAAACAGAUCAUUGAGGUGGGCGACAGGAAUGCAAGGUACAAGGGACGUGAGAUCUUCUCCAAGGCCGUUAAUGUGACCGUUGACCCUAGAGCUCUUGCUAUCUUUGAGCAUGCCUCAAAGCUCGUCGGAAUUGAUGAGCCCAAGGCUGAGCUGAUCAAGUUGUUAACUGACGAGGAUGGAGUUGCAUCAACACAACAACAAGUGAAGAUGGUCUCCAUUGUUGGAUCGGGAGGAAUGGGCAAAACAACUCUUGCAAACCAAGUGUAUCAAGAGCUGAAAGAGAAAUUCAAGUGUAAGGCUUUCAUUUCAGUGUCACGAAAUCCAGAUAUGACAAAUAUCUUGAGAACCCUCCUUAGUGAAGUUGGGUGUCAAGAUUAUGCUGACACUGAAGCAGGGAGCAUACAACAACUAAUAAGAAAGAUUACCGACUACCUAGCAGAAAAAAGGUAUAUUAUAGUGAUUGACGACAUAUGGGAUGUUAAAACAUGGAACGUUAUUAAGUGCGCAUUCCCCAUGACCAGAUGCAGUGGUGUAAUAAUCACCACUACACGGCUGAGUGAUGUUGCAUGUUCGUGUCAUUCAUCAACCGGUGGCUAUAUUUAUAAUAUAAGGCCUCUUAAUGUGGAGCACUCAAGACAACUAUUCCACAGAAGAUUAUUCAGCUCCGAAGAAGAUUGCCCUUCAUCACUCGUGAAAGUUUCUAAUCAAAUCUUGGAAAAAUGUGAUGGGUUGCCUUUGGCAAUCAUUGCUAUAGCUGGUUUGUUGGCUAACACAGGAAGAUCAGAGCAUCUAUGGAACCAAGUGAAAGAUUCAAUUGGUCGUGCACUUGAAAGGAAUCCUAAUGUCGAAGUAAUGAUAAAGAUAUUGUCACUUAGUUACUUUGAUCUUCCUCCUCAUCUAAAAACAUGUCUCUUGUAUCUCAGUAUAUUUCCGGAAGAUUCUAUUAUUGAGAAGAAAACACUAAUAUCAAGAUGGAUUGCCGAAGGAUUCGUUCACAAAGAAGGUAGAUAUACAGCAUAUGAGGUAGGAGUGAGGUGUUUUAAUGAGCUCGUCAAUAGGAGUUUGAUCCAACCUGUGAAGGAAGACAAUUAUAUGGGGAAGAGUUGUCGAGUUCACGAUAUAAUUCUUGAUUUCAUAGUAUCCAAAUCCAUUGAAGAGAACUUUGUUACUUUUGUUGGUGUCCCCAGUUUAACUACCAUGACACAAGGCAAAGUCCGCCGUCUCUCCAUUCAAGUUGAAGGGAAAGAGGAUUCUAUUUUGCCAAUGAGCCUGAUAUUGUCUCAUGUCCGAUCAUUUAAUUUGUUCUUGAGUACGGUGAAUAUCCAUUCGAUGAUGGAGUUCCGGCAUUUGCGAGUUGUGGACUUUAAUGGCAGUCGAUUGGAAAACCACCAUCUUGUGAAUGUAGGGAGGCUGUUUCAGCUAAGGUACCUCAGCAUUAGCAUGACAGAAGUAAGCGCGCUCCCGGAACAAAUCGGACACCUACAAUGCUUAGAGAUGUUGGACAUCAGGUAUACAAAGGUGUCCGAGUUGCCAGCCAGUAUUGUCAAUCUCGGUAAAUUGGCACACUUACUUCUUGGCUCAAAAGACACAUGUGUUAAGUUUCCCGAUGGAAUUGCGAAGAUGCAAGCACUAGAGACUUUGGAUCAGGUUGACGCAUGCAAGCAGUCAUAUAACUUUCUGCAAGGGCUUGGUCGGCUAAAGAAUCUGAGGAAGCUGCACAUUGAUUAUCAUGAUGUUGCCCAGGAAGACAAGGAAGUUAUUGCUUCUUCUCUCGGUAAACUAUGCACACAAAACCUUUGUUCUCUAACUAUGUGGGGGAAUGAUGAUGACGACUUCUUGCUGAAUACAUGGUGCACUUCUCCGCCGCCUAACCUCCGAAAACUUGUCAUAUGGGGUUGUCUAUUCCCAAAGGUUCCGCAUAGGGUAGGAUCACUCGUCAACCUACAGAAGUUACACUUGCAUGUGGUGAGAGGAAUCCGGCAUGAAGAUAUCUGCAUCCUUGGAGCCUUACCCGCUCUGCUCACUCUGGGUCUAAACGCAAGGGAAAAACAACCUUCUUGUGAAGAUAGAAGGCUGGCAGUUAGUGGUGAAGCUGGGUUCCGAUGCCUGAGGAAGUUUAAUUACUGGAGGCGGGGAGAUUGGAUGGAUCUUAUGUUUACGGCAAAAUGUAUGCCCAAGCUAGAAAAACUGAAGAUUAUAUUUUACCGGCAUGCCGAAGAUGAGGCUCCCAUCAUUCCUGCUUUCGAUUUCGGGAUGGAAAACCUCUCCAGCCUCACUACUUUCGAAUGUCGCCUAGGUCAUGGGCCUAUGACAAAAAGAUCUGCUGACGCCGUGAAGGAUUCUCUGGACAGAGUAGUCACCGCACAUCCCAACCAACUUACUCUAAUCUUCAUUUAUUGUUGUAUUUUUAAGAGAGAUGGCUGUAGUGGUCAGUGCCUUCUGUCUAAAAAUCUUCAGUCAUCCUCGGAAUCUACUUGAGUAGAGUCAAGACCGUACCAUGAUUGCUACAAGCGGUCUCAAGACUAAUCAGUUCACUGCUGACGAAUGCGCUCAGGUUCUUCUCAAGUCCUGCGGCGCUUCAUGAAGAUGAUUAUUUCACUGAUGUGUUUGGAACUUUGGAUGCUCUUUUUGGUGUUACCGAUUGAUCAUUUGCAGUGCUUCAUGAAGAUGAUUAUUUCUGUCCUCCGUGUUCUGGCUGAUGUGUUUGGAUGCUCUCUUUCACUGAAGAUGAAGAUGAUGCUGAUGGUGUUAGGCAUCGAAAUCGCUGAAAUCUGAUCGACCUCCGAGAUCGGCCAAGGGAUCCCUGUCAGGCCCUCGGCUGUGACAGCUGACAGGCAUCAUCAUCAACCAGCAGUGCUGGGCCAGACGACGAGCAAGGCCCACAGCCCGGACGACGAUCUGUGUGGGGAUGAGAGCCCAGCCCAUGUAAUUGCUACUUUAGAUCGGGAGACUGGGAAGGGGAGCAGUGCUGGGCAAUUUUUUGGAAACAUUUCCUCCUUCUGUUCCUCUUCUUCCCCACCUACUACCAGCUCUUAAGCGCUACUACUCUUAUUUCUAAUUGUAAGGGUUUCUGUUUCUGAAUGACGAGCAAUUGCCCGGUCGAUCGUCAUGCGCUGUGGAGGUGAAGUCUCAAAAGAUUUGGGGUGGUGCUUACACGAGUUGGUGCUUACACUGUUGUUUCAGUUGACAGCGUACAAUUAAGUCAAACCAUGACCCCGGCUGCAUAAUCCAGGAAUUCGGUGACAGACGUUGGUUGCG
Triticum dicoccoides is the source of this 4048-nucleotide RNA transcript. It is a transcript of the gene named disease resistance protein RGA5-like, with no coding region annotated. The record is from RefSeq and is a predicted model, not a curated record. NCBI's taxonomy places the organism in Eukaryota, Viridiplantae, Streptophyta, Magnoliopsida, Poales, Poaceae. The transcript is spliced from 5 exons.